CCUACGGGUGGCUGCAGUCGAGAAUCAUUCACAAUGGGGGAAACCCUGAUGGUGCGACGCCGCGUGGGCGAAGAAGUAUUUCGGUAUGUAAAGCCCUAUCAGCAGGGAAGAAGAAAUGACGGUACCUGAGUAAGAAGCACCGGCUAAAUACGUGCCAGCAGCCGCGGUAAUACGUAUGGUGCAAGCGUUAUCCGGAUUUACUGGGGGUAAAGGGAGCGCAGGCGGCAAGGCAAGCCUGAUGUGAAAGCCCGCGGCCCAACCGCGGGACUGCAUUGGGAACUACCGGGCUGGAGUGCCGGAGAGGUAGGCGGAAUUCCUAGUGUAGCGGUGAAAUGCGUAGAUAUUAGGAGGAACACCAGUGGCGAAGGCGGCCUACUGGACGGUGACUGACGCUGAGGCUCGAAAGCGUGGGGAGCAAACAGGAUUAGAUACCCUUGUAGUC
RNAcentral lists this ribosomal RNA (442 nucleotides) under uncultured bacterium. RNAcentral describes it as "partial 16S ribosomal RNA". It matches the Rfam family "Bacterial small subunit ribosomal RNA", at positions 338 to 795 of the family's 1533-position model. The record is from RNAcentral.